This 108-nucleotide non-coding RNA is filed under the name Clostridium phage D-1873. RNAcentral describes it as "drum RNA". It matches the Rfam family "drum RNA". Rfam says of the family: Firmicutes, Bacteroidetes (1 example), Proteobacteria (2 examples), Spirochaetes (2 examples). Terminator (Clostridia) The record is from RNAcentral.
UAUCUUUGAAGAAUACUUUUUGUCAGAAAGAGUAUUCGGAGAUUUAUUAAAGUUCUGCAUAAGCCAAGGGUCUGACUAGAAUUUGAUUUCGAAUAAAAAAUGCAUGAU